This is a long non-coding RNA of Prionailurus viverrinus (fishing cat), 748 nucleotides long. RefSeq lists it as uncharacterized. The record is from RefSeq and is a predicted model, not a curated record. NCBI's taxonomy places the organism in Eukaryota, Metazoa, Chordata, Mammalia, Carnivora, Felidae. The transcript has 4 exons.
GGGCGCAUCACCUCUAAUCCUUGACGAAGCUGAUUUGCAGCUGGUUCGCCCUCAGGGAAAGCCUCAAUCUACAGCUAGUUUGCUCACACUGCUGUGCUGCAGACGUCCGGGGCUCCUACCUGCGACCUUGGGCGAAUGCUGUUCUGCCACAAAUACUCCAUGAUCACUGAAAGGUAGUAAGUACCUGCUAACCUCGGGGACGUGCCGCACUCUAGACAAGGAAACAAGUUCCAAAGCCUCGGAAAACCGGAGAGGAGUUGACAAAGCGUGUUCAUCGCGUGAAAACCACCACCCUUCAUCGGCACUCGUCCCCUAACCCAGGACGAAUGUGAGGCCUGGAGGAAGUAGCAAGGGCAUAAUUGGUCAGAAGGAGAGCCCACCAUUCGGAGAUACCUUCGAGGCUGGUGGGGUGCUUCCACUUCCUUCGGGUUCCUCUGCCCGGCAGGGAGGUUCCACGACGGCAGGGGUCGGGUGGAUGGUCGUUCUAAUGUCCCCACACCAAGAACAGGGUCAGACAUUCACCGGGACGCUCCCCUGGGACUUGUAAAUUACUUGGUCGUCUUUAGCUUUUAGGCCCUUGAGGAACUGAAGAACCCCGAGAAUGGAAAUAGUGAAAAGCUUUUCAAAGCGGAAACUUGUUUUUCAAACUUAUCCAUCCAGUUAAUUGAGCAGCAUCCGCAGCGGCGGCAACGGGAAAGACGAACCGCGCGCCACCCGCCGGUCGAGCUUCCGGCGCUCAGCUCGGCUC